RNAcentral lists this ribosomal RNA (468 nucleotides) under uncultured bacterium. Its description in RNAcentral is "partial 16S ribosomal RNA". It matches the Rfam family "Bacterial small subunit ribosomal RNA", at positions 28 to 507 of the family's 1533-position model. The record is from RNAcentral.
GACGAACGCUGGCGGCGUGCUUAACACAUGCAAGUCGAACGGAAAGGCCCUGCUUUUGUGGGGUGCUCGAGUUGCGAACGGGUGAGUAACACGUGAGUAACCUGCCCUUGACUUUGGGAUAACUUCAGGCAACUUGGGCUAAUACCGGAUAGGAGCUCCUGCUGCAUGGUGGGGGUUGGAAAGUUUCGGCGGUUGGGGAUGGACUCGCGGCUUAUCAGCUUGUUGGUGGGGUAGUGGCUUACCAAGGCUUUGACGGGUAGCCGGCCUGAGAGGGGGACCGGCCACAUUGGGACUGAGAUACGGCCCAGACUCCUACGGGAGGCAGCGGUGGGGAGUAGUGCACAGUGGGCGGAAGCCUGAUGCAGCAACGCCGCGUGCGGGAUGACGGCCUUCGGGUUGUAAACCGAUUUCGCCUGUGACGAGGCGUGAGUGACGGUAAUGGGUAAAGAAGCACCGGCUAACUACGUG